GGCUAGUAGGAAUAACACCAUGAAAGGUUACUCAAGAAGGGGUAGAGCCAGAGGAGGAGAUAGUGAGCAUAUACCCUAGUCAUUCAGGAGUUGAGUACAUCUUUCCAACGACGUCAGGUUUCUCGAUGGGGAGAAUGUACAAGAUCAAAACCUACAAAAAGGUACUAAAGUUAUGAAUCUACCUCGACAAUCAGAGACAAUAGUACUCACUAUCGACUCAUUGGAGGAAUGCUUGAUGUAUCGAAAACUGGUGAAAGAGAUCAGGGAAAAACAUGCAACUCUUAAGCAGAUAUUUAACCUGAGCAUAUUCUGCAAAGUAUUAAUCUUCAACCAAACACCUCAAAAGUUUGAUAAUGUAGAGGUUUCCUGGAUACUAAUAAAGAUCGGGAAAGUGAGUAUUGACGAAAGUUAUAAUUACAAAGUUGUUACUGGACAUGUAGUACCACCAAAAAAUCUGGAACAAAGGCUAAAAAAAAUACAAAGCACUUGAUUCCUACAAGAGCCACCCAAUAAAAAUGUGACUUGACAUGUAGGAAAACCUGAAGACGCCUAGAAUCCACCAUAAAGUUAGGUUGUAUGUAACGAAUCUAUUAUUAGAAUGUUUGAGGUAAACUCCAAAAAACUCCUCUCACUGAAUGAGUUCUUUAAAAAAUUUAUCCGACUUAGGCAUGAAAAAUAUUUGUACUAUAUUAUGCAAAACCAGGAUAGAAAAAAUGUCUAAGGAUGUUACACUAUUAUUUGAUCUUAAAAAUGGCUAACUGCCAUGACUUGCAAAAAGAACUUUCAAUGGUCAAUGUAGGACGGAAGAGUAAAUUCAAUGAGCAAAAUAAAAGAAGAAGAGUAGAAUGGCACGAUGGAUGCUGGACGAACACCAAUAGAAAAGAAAUAGGAAGAGCAUUCAUAGGCACACUGAUUGAGCUAACAGAUCAAUCUGACAGCAAAACCCAAAAAUUUCUUCAAACUUUAAUUUUAUGUAUAUUAUUAUACAUUUAACUUUAAUUUUCUUCAAAUUUACGUUUUAUAGGAACUGUGCCAUUUUAGAAAUUUGAAUUUGGUGUAAAAAUAGAGUUAGUGUCACAACAUGGUGGCUCCAUGUCGCAACACCAAGGCCGGAAUAAAAGGAAUAGAGAAAACCAAUUUGAUAUCGUGACACAGAAGACAGUAUACCCAGGUUUCAAAAAUUUCAGAGUGUGCCAUGACAUCAAACCCCGUUGUCGUGACAAUGGCAAACUGCCAGGGAUGGACUAAACCUUAUUUUACUCAGUUUUUAACCCUCAUUUUAAAAAUUAAAAAUAGUUUAACUUCAACAUUAUCAACAUUCUGAACACUCUAAAAACUCUCAAACAUCCCAAAAAAUCAGUUUCAUCAAAGGCCUAAAUACCCAAAACUUCCAUUGUCACCUAUCAAGCUUUAUUUGGGCAAAAAAGCAUUAACCACUUGGACAAUAAGCAUCAAAGAUUGAAAGAAAGCUAAGGUUAAGUAUUCCUUUACCUGUUUUAUUAUUCUAUCAAUUACUGCUAAUUUUUAUUUGAUUAUUUUAGAACUAAAGUACUGGAAAAUAACGCCUAGAAAGAGUAGGAAACCCAAAUUCCAAAAUCCAAAUGUAGAGAAAUAUUUUCUUGAAUUAUAGGAAAGAUUGCUUACACAAGAAAGAGGGUUCGAACCCUCAGUGGUUCUAUGCAAAGAAAUUUGGACAAUAGUCAAGGACCAUCGAUGGGAGUGAUUUUGUGUCACUCCUACAGAAAAUGCUAUCAUACUAGUUGUACAAGAAUUUUACGCCUCUUUUAGAAAGCAAGAAAUGAGAAAAAGGCAAGAUGAAAGUUAGGACACUAUAAUGGUGAGAGGAUAAGUAUCGAUUACACUUAGAGCGGUAUUUGAGUUUUACGAUGUCCCUUACUAUGGCAAAGACUUCCUUAAUAACACUAAUUUGAAUACACUUGGGGAUAUAAAAAUGUAUGAUGUCAUUAAGUACUUAGCUCAGGGUAGAGGUACAUGGAAUUAUAGGCCAAAUACCUCCUUACCAACUAAUUUCAAUCAAGCAAUAAUGUUUUCGGUAGCGAAAAUAUGGAUGCAAUUCAUAGGUACUAGAAUUGCGCCUGUAUUGAAUGUUUCUAACGUUAACACUUUUUUGCUCUAUACUUUUGUAUGGUAUUUUGUGGCACAAGCAAAUAUGUGUGGUCAAGUGGAUUUAUCGCGAGGUGAAGUGUUGUGUGAAUAGCCAAAAAGUUGGGAUUUUCUUUCCCCACCUUGUGACAAAACUGUAUCGAAAAGUAAAAGUUCUGAUGGGAGGGAAUGAGUAGUUCAGGAAGCCAAAAAAUAUCAUAGUUGGAGAUUCAUUAUAUAAGCAAUAUGUUGAGCUUCAGAGGAAACAAAUUAUUGAUUCGUACCAGAGGAAGAAAAAAAUAUGGAUGUUCUGGUGUCACUCAAACAGAAUGAGCGAUCGAAAGCUCAAACAGGGGCAAGUGGGAACAUCAAAUAAAAAAUCAUUGGAAUGAUCAGGUGGGUGCAGGAGGCAAGCUCGAUACUUCACCCGAUUGAAUGGGUUAAGAGCACCAAAUUAUUCGUCGGACAUAUUCGGCCCAACACAGACCCAUCAUAGAGCUGACAUGCACCUUCGACGGGAGGGACUUCCCAUCAUGAAUAUGGCUCAGGAAAGGGAAAAGCACCGAUGGAAAGGAGGCAUUCAC
This 2687-nucleotide long non-coding RNA is filed under the name Gossypium barbadense (sea-island cotton). Its description in RNAcentral is "long non-coding RNA (GBAR_LNC021742)". The record is from RNAcentral. Lineage: Eukaryota; Viridiplantae; Streptophyta; Magnoliopsida; Malvales; Malvaceae.